AAAAAGAUAAGCUAAAUGAAGCUAAUGGGCUCAUACCCCGUAAAUGAAAGUCUACUCUUUCUCUUUUUA
This 69-nucleotide transfer RNA is filed under the name Hemigrapsus sanguineus. Its description in RNAcentral is "tRNA-Met". It matches the Rfam family "tRNA". Rfam says of the family: Transfer RNA (tRNA) molecules are approximately 80 nucleotides in length. Their secondary structure includes four short double-helical elements and three loops (D, anti-codon, and T loops). Further hydrogen bonds mediate the characteristic L-shaped molecular structure. tRNAs have two regions of fundamental functional importance: the anti-codon, which is responsible for specific mRNA codon recognition, and the 3' end, to which the tRNAs corresponding amino acid is attached (by aminoacyl-tRNA synthetases). tRNAs cope with the degeneracy of the genetic code in two manners: having more than one tRNA (with a specific anti-codon) for a particular amino acid; and 'wobble' base-pairing, i.e. permitting non-standard base-pairing at the 3rd anti-codon position. The record is from RNAcentral. Lineage: Eukaryota; Metazoa; Arthropoda; Malacostraca; Decapoda; Varunidae.